GCCUGGGUGGCUCAGUAGGUUAAAGCCUCUGACUCCGGCUCAGGUCAUGAUCCCAGGGUCCUGGGAUCGAGUCCCACAUCAGGCU
This 85-nucleotide transfer RNA is filed under the name Mustela putorius furo (domestic ferret). It matches the Rfam family "tRNA". From Rfam's summary of the family: Transfer RNA (tRNA) molecules are approximately 80 nucleotides in length. The record is from Rfam by way of RNAcentral. Lineage: Eukaryota; Metazoa; Chordata; Mammalia; Carnivora; Mustelidae.